AGACUCUGUGCGCGUGCAUAUCAAUAAGCGGAGGAAAAGAAACUAACAAGGAUUCCCUUAGUAACGGCGAGUGAAGCGGGAAGAGCUCAAAUUUGAAAUCUUCAAGGUUUUACCUUGACGAAUUGUAGUUUAAAGAAGUGUUUUCUGCUGAAGUUUUGGUAAAAGUUCUUUGGAAUAGGACAUCAUAGAGGGUGAGAAUCCCGUAUUUGACCAUUAUUUUCAGCUUUGUGAUACACUUUCAAAGAGUCGGAUUGUUUGGGAAUGCAGACCAAAAUGGGUGGUAAAUUUCAUCUAAAGCUAAAUAUUGGCGAGAGACCGAUAGCGAACAAGUACCGUGAGGGAAAGAUGAAAAGAACUUUGAAAAGAGAGUUAAACAGUACGUGAAAUUGUCAAAAGGGAAGCGUUUGACACCAGUGUUGUUUUUCUGAAAAUCAACUAAAGAACUGUUUAUGCUAAGUUGUUUAGACUUUAUCAGCUAACUGUUUAGUUUUGAGCUUCUCUUUAAUGCACUUUUCAGUUAACAAGUCAACAUCAAUUUCUUUUGCUGUAAAAAAGCUUGAGGAAGGUGGCUUGAGAUUCGUCUUAAGUGUUUAUAGCCUCUUGCCUAUGCAGUCGGAGAGAUUGAGGUCUGCAGCGUAGAUCCUUCGGGGCUAAAUGCAUUUGUGCUAAGUUAUAGCAUUUUAUAGACGACUUGUUGACUAUGAUUUGUCUUGUAGCUUACUCGCUUAUGUUAUUUUACCUACGCUUAGGAUGUUGAAGAUGUAGCACAUCAU
RNAcentral lists this ribosomal RNA (773 nucleotides) under uncultured Neocallimastigales. RNAcentral's name for it is "partial large subunit ribosomal RNA". It matches the Rfam family "Eukaryotic large subunit ribosomal RNA", at positions 23 to 635 of the family's 3401-position model. The record is from RNAcentral. Lineage: Eukaryota; Fungi; Neocallimastigomycota; Neocallimastigomycetes; Neocallimastigales.